Lolium rigidum is the source of this 1232-nucleotide long non-coding RNA. RefSeq lists it as uncharacterized. The record is from RefSeq and is a predicted model, not a curated record. The transcript is spliced from 5 exons. NCBI's taxonomy places the organism in Eukaryota, Viridiplantae, Streptophyta, Magnoliopsida, Poales, Poaceae.
ACUCGCAAUCCCGCACUAAACGGCGAAGGCGACUCGAACAUCCUCCGCCCGGCAACCCUCCUCAUCCUCCACAAUCGUUCUUGCUCCGCCCGCGUCGCUAUUCCUCGUCCGCCUGCGACGGAAACUUGCACUCCCGCAUGGAGAGCUAAGUUAGGCCGUCGACUUGCCUCACUCAACACGGUCCAUCGAAAUCGGAGGCCCAUGAACUAAAUCGGAAGAAUGGUGCUCCUUCAUGUUCGUAGACCAGACCCAUCAACGGAACGGACAUAACGGUUCUCCUUCUACACGAGUUAACUCUAUUUUCCGGCGCUUUAAUGAUGGAUUCAUGAUGGUAAUUUCGACCCAUUUAUCAUUCCUGUGAUUAUGACGAUUAAUCCUAGCGUUACCCUUCUCCUUCAUAUAAAUAUGUGGGCACAGGACCCUAUUUUUCCUCACUACUUCCAUCCGACAUUGGAAACCUCAUUGUUCAUCGGAGAUGCUCUUUCCAUAUCUUUCUCCCCUUCCGCUUCCUCCUUACUGCAUGGUGAAAUGUUUGGCAAAGAGAGGCGGUGAAAGGGGAGCAACGCCAAAUCAACCCAAUGUUCUUGCGAAGGUUGAAACAUUUCCCAAUAAAUAUCUAAUUGCAAGGAACAAGCUGCUGCAGUAGACGUCUCUUCCUUUGCUUCUGCUGAGGAGUACCCGCCGAUUGUAUGUUCCUGUGAUUCUCUUAAUUUAGGGAUUAGGCUCGAUCUGCUCUGACUACAUGAUUCUAAGACAUUAUUCCAGGUGCCAUCUAAAGAUUUAUGGCAACAACAAACUGUGACUUGGGCCCAACUGAGCUGGUGUAGAGGUGAUAGUCUAGCUUUGGUCUUGAGGGAGUUGGCUGGCAGGUUGAUUGAUGGCAUGUGCCACAACUCUGGAGGCAGAGGAUCCCAACCGUCUAUGUGGCUGUUUUCCCUCCGGCAUAGUGUUGAGCAGCGACCUCUUUUUUCCUGAGGGAGGGCGCCAGCCUCUUCUUCUUUCAUAGAGGCAUGACCACAAGAUCAAAACAACUGCAGAACCACAACAAGACUCAUUUGCUUGUUUGUUGAUGAUAUGCUUCGGAUUAAUCUUUCAUUGAGGUUGUCGGUUGGUCCUUAUAUUUUGAGUUGUCGAGACACAAUGAUGUUACUAUGAAUAUUUGCAUAUUUUGUGUUAGUAGUUGAAAUUGAACACAUUAGACACUAAAGGUACACGGAUGUUGUUUGAAAAGU